This 698-nucleotide long non-coding RNA is filed under the name Androctonus crassicauda. Lineage: Eukaryota; Metazoa; Arthropoda; Arachnida; Scorpiones; Buthidae. The record is from RNAcentral.
UCAUUUUCUCUGCAUAUUGCAUCGUUUCCAUACAUUAUUAAUCAGAGAUUAAUAAUGCAUGGAAGUGGUGCAAUAUGCAGAGAAAUGGUGGAAAUCUAAUAAAAUAAUAAUAAUGCAUGGAAAUGGUGGAAAUCUAACAAAAUAAUAAUAGUAAUCUCUUCUGAAUCCUGCUAUGCUGCCUCAAAGUGGCGGAGGGGUUACGUGGGUGGAAUGGGCAAUGCACAUAAGAAAUUAUAUUUUUAGUAGGGUCACCCAGGUUGUGAAGGCUAUUCUGUUAUGCUCAACUAAAUGCCACCAGGUAUCCCCACUUCGGUGGUGUACAAUUAGUAUGCAAUGAUACAAAGCAGAAAACAUAAGCAUACCGGCUUGGAUGGCACCCGGUUUAACAAGGUCCACGUCUGUGAGAUAGUCAGAGGCUCACAUUCGGAAAGUUUACUAUAGUCUUCCUUGGCCACUGGUGGCGAAAGCAGCACCAAUCUAAGUCAUGCUACUCCAAAUACACAUAUACACAAUAGGGAACGGGUCCCACAUCAGAGCCCAACCACCCAAAGUGUUUCCCCGACAACUCAGCCAAAGAUCGCCAAGGCUGGAAAACCAAAUGUCCAUUUCAUGCGUUGGCGACCUGAACGAAUUCAUCAUGCGUACAUACUAUACAAUUACAAAAAUAGAAGCCGACACUACAGGAUACAGAAGGGAAC